RNAcentral lists this ribosomal RNA (496 nucleotides) under uncultured bacterium. RNAcentral describes it as "partial 16S ribosomal RNA". It matches the Rfam family "Bacterial small subunit ribosomal RNA", at positions 28 to 506 of the family's 1533-position model. The record is from RNAcentral.
GAUGAACGCUGGCGGCGUGCCUAAUACAUGCAAGUCGAGCGAACGGACGAGAAGCUUGCUUCUCUGAUGUUAGCGGCGGACGGGUGAGUAACACGUGGAUAACCUACCUAUAAGACUGGGAUAACUUCGGGAAACCGGAGCUAAUACCGGAUGAUAUUUUGAACCGCAUGGUUCAAAAGUGAAAGACGGUCUUGCUGUCACUUAUAGAUGGAUCCGCGCUGCAUUAGCUAGUUGGUAAGGUAACGGCUUACCAAGGCAACGAUGCAUAGCCGACCUGAGAGGGUGAUCGGCCACACUGGAACUGAGACACGGUCCAGACUCCUACGGGAGGCAGCAGUAGGGAAUCUUCCGCAAUGGGCGAAAGCCUGACGGAGCAACGCCGCGUGAGUGAUGAAGGGCUUCGGAUCGUAAAACUCUGUUAUUAGGGAAGAACAGAUGUGUAAGUAACUGUGCACAUCUUGACGGUACCUAAGCAGAAAGCCACGGAUAACUACGU